RNAcentral lists this ribosomal RNA (330 nucleotides) under uncultured eukaryote. Its description in RNAcentral is "partial 18S ribosomal RNA". It matches the Rfam family "Eukaryotic small subunit ribosomal RNA", at positions 1470 to 1796 of the family's 1831-position model. The record is from RNAcentral.
CCCUUAGAUGUUCUGGGCCGCACGCGCGCUACACUGAUGCAUUCAACGAGUUUCUUCCUGGUCCGAGAGGAAUGGGUAACCUUUUGAAAGUGCAUCGUGAUAGGGAUAGACUAUUGCAAUUAUUGGUCUUCAACGAGGAAUUCCUAGUAGACGUAGUUCAUCAGACUGCAUCGAUUACGUCCCUGCCCUUUGUACACACCGCCCGUCGCUCCUACCGAUUGAAGUUUUCGGUGAGUAGACAGGAGGAUUUUUUUGAAACUGGUUCGCCAGUGGAUUUUAGAUCCAAAUGCCAACGAAUCGAUGGCUUUAGAGGAAGGAGAAGUCGUAACA